GUGUGGGGUGUGCGGGGAGGGGGGAUCGCGGAAGAGCAUAGGGGUGCCUGGGGGGGAACGUGGGGGUACGUGAGGGUGGAGGGGUGAGUGCCUGGGAUUGGGGACGUGGAGUAGUGGUGGGGAGAUGCCCGUGGGGACGCGUGGGGGUGUUGGUGGGUGCCUGUGGACGUGGGAAUGCAGGGUGGGAGGUGUUGGAGAGAAUUUGUUCGUGGGGACACGUGGAGGUGUGAAGGGUGAGCGUUGUUUGUGGGGUCCAUACGAGUGGGAGAGGGGAAGAGGGCUGAGUGCCUGUUGGGGGGGUUUAUGGUGUUGAAGAGAAAAGUGUGUGUGAGGUGUGAGCACUGCAGCUGAGCCCCCUCCCACGCUGUGCUCCUGGACAUGGACCCACACCAGCCCCCCCCCCCCCCAAACCCGGUGCCUGGGCUGGAUCUGCUCUGCAUUUCAUGGGCAAAGUCUCCAUGCGCAGAGUGAAGGCAGCGAGCUCCUCGGGGUGAGUCACUGCGUGAGAGCACACAGCUUACAACUUUACUUCUGAAGCCUAAAUACACUUCUGGAGCACGCUAUUCCUCCUCUAAUGGAGCACGAAGGCUGUUCUCCUCCUGGCCUUGUUGCCCCACAUGGAUACGCACCUCUGGCUGAGGGUUGGAGUCAUUUGUUUGCCUUUUUCUUCCUCCCUGCUGGAGCUUCCAUCAGCUGGCACUUGGAGCUCAGCAAUCACUUCAUCUUGCAGAAGUGCUGCCUCUAAAAUUAAAAUUCCCGUAUGAGGUAUAAAUGUUUCAAGAGAAGGAAAGAAAAACAUUAAGUAGAACUUGAGUGCACAGUGAGAACCCCUCCAGUCACGCUCUGUGCAGAGCAACCCAAAAACGAGGGCUCAGCUGCUUUUUGGGGGUCACCCAAAAGGGCAAAGGAUUCUUUGAGGUGACAAUAAGGGGGCUUCCCAUGACCCCCACCUGCAGAAUAACUCAUGGCAGAAGCUGAGCGGCCUUGAGGGCCGGAGGGAAGGGGAGCAUCUGCUUCCCCCGCACUUUGGGUAUGGUGUGUUCUCUGAAUUUCUUUAUUGAAUCAUUGAGAACGGCUGCAAUUUUCAGUUCACCACCUAGGCUUGCACCAAGGCUGGGCUGGAAGCAGACGGAGCCAUCUCGUGCCUCAAAGCACAUCCCCAGGGCUGCUCCCGGGCAUCUCCCUGAUCUGAUGGCCCCUGAGCACCCUCAGGAGCCCCAAGGAAUCAGGCAGUGGUGUUCUGGGGCUGCUCUGCCCCCCAGCUGAUGGGGAGUGGCUCAGGCACAGAGUGCUGCACCGGCACAGCGGGGGCAGUCAGCUCGGUUCAUCUAUCACCGUAGCCCACCACCAGCCCCGGUGCUGGUGGUGCUUUGGACCCUUUUUCUUUCAGUCCACAUGCUUUAGGAUUCAUCGCUUAACCGUUGAAAAGAUGACAAAACUGGUAAUUGCAUCUUGUUUGUUUUAUUUAGGAAGUUCGACUCAGGAGAUUAAAAAACAACAAACCAACCACCCUUAUUUCUUCUUCCAUCAUAAAUUACUGACACAUUCAGUGCUGAAGGGCCCCGCGUGCCGCCUGGGGACUCAUUAUUGUCACUCGCAGGGACGUCACUGUCUCUUCCUCUACUCAGGAGCGCGAGGAGCGAUGCGGUAGCGAUGCUUCAGGGAUGCCAGGCUCACCCCCAGCUCUGCUCACUGCCUCGUGCCGCCGUGCAGCCGUGGCCUCGCAGCAGGGAGGAAGCAGAGCAGCUCCUAAUGAGGCGCUGGGAGCACUCCGAGCCUCUUGGCUCGUGAGCAGAGAACCGCAGGCGGGAGCCCCUGCCCUGUGGACCGUGACAGCUCUGGUGGUAAAGCGCAGCCAAGCUUCCAGAAGCUUCUCUCAAAGAACGCUGCUGCUUAUCUCUGUUUGCUCCUGGCACGUGUUCUGCUCUUUCCCCAUCCCAUCCCACCCCCACCCCACAAACAGCCAUGCCAGCGCUCCUGCAUUUUUCAGGAGUAAUAUUCCCUGCACCUCUGGGGCUGCGGGGACGGCGCUGCCCAUCCCGCUCUGGAGAAGGCAUCUCAUGGGCUGACGAACCUGAGAUUGACCCUUAUGUUUCACCAUUCUCAGGUUAGACAGUCCUCGAGGUGCCCCUCGCUCGGGCAGCCGCCGCCCCAUGCCCCGCAUCCUGCGUCCUGCGCCCACCCAGAUCCCCCGGCCAUAGGGAUUUUGCAAGAGGGAGCAGAGAUGCAGCCCCUCAGCUCUGCUGUGCCUUAGCUUCUCUGCAUCCAUGCCUGACCACGAGGUUCUGCAGGAGUCGGUCCCUUCCGAAAUGCACGCUGUGCUUCCUCCUGCAACCAGUGGUCGUGGAAACCUUUGCACAACCGGAGUUCAGGGCUAAAAGCUGGGCUGCUGCAUGCUGCAUGCACCCAACGCCUCCUAGAUAUGCACAGGGCAGCUCUGGCCCCACAGAUCCCCGUCUGGCCAUGGGCUGUGCUGUUGGGACAGAGAUGGAGCAGCAGAUUCUCUUCCUUUGCUCCCAUUUGCAGAUGGCAGCAUCCUGGGAGCAUCAGAGCACUUCUGCAAGGCUCGUCCAAAAUCUGCCACCCAAAAUCUACACCCAGCUCUGCAGAGAUGCCCCAUAGGACCUGCACCAGGGAAGGAUUUUUCAAGUUGGGCACCGCCAAUCUUAAUGCAAAGCCUGAGCAGGCCCAGGAAGCUGUCAGAAAAGGCACCAAGGAAUUAGCGAUCGGUUUCAGUCCCUUCUGGAUUUCUUGCUCCAUUUGGCUCCUAUCACCUUCCCCUGUGCUCCGGCAUGGACAGAGCCAGGUACGUCCCCAGGCACGUGAGCUAGGUUGUUCCAAUGGAGCAGUGGAUUUGCUUGGGGUCAAUGAAAGAGAAACCUUUCAGACAGGAAUUAAGGGGACUGCAGAGCCACAGUUUUAUCUUCUCAGUUUACUUGGUUUCAAAUUCAUGAUUGAGCUUUUGGGGUUUUUUUUAAUGCUUUUUUGGGGAAGAAAAAGCUAAAUGGAAUCUAUAGCAGCAUGCCUGGGGUGGGGGGAAGGUUGGGCAGAGCAAUGAAGGAGCAGCAGAACCCUCCCAGCCUCCCCUUUUGCAAGAAGGAGCCCAGCAGAAAGAGGCAGGGAGAGCUUCUAAGAGGAGGGGGGAUCAGCCCUGCAGCGGGGAGUGCUGCCUUACCUCUCACCUGCAGCUCCUGUCUCCAUCCCUCUGCCCGCUGCGCCCGCGCCGCUUUUAUGGCCGUCCCUGUCCUCGUGGCUCGGAGGAGUCAAGCCGGGCUACAGCGAAUUGCCACUCUUUCUGCUGGCUUCCUGUUUGUGCAUCGCGAGCGGCUGUGGUAAAAUUUCCAUUACACGCUGGACAGACACAGGGCGGCAGAGAGAAGUGAAGAAAAAAAAAAAAGCAAAAAAAAAAAGUAACCCAACCCAAUGCAGUGCGGCGCUGCUCGAGUCACACGAAAGCGGCUGUGUUAGGGGGCUGGGAGGGGUGGAGGGAUGCUCUGGGUGCCCCCUGCCCAGCCAUGGGGGUGCGAUAAGUGGAAGACCCUCAUUUCCAACCCCUCCACCGUAACCUCUGUUUCCUAAGUGCUGCCCCUCUGAAUGGAGGCAGAGCGUUGGGGUUGGCCCCGUCAGCCGCAUCCAUCCACCCCAUGGCUGAUCCUCCAGCGAGGCCAGCAGCAGAGUGCAGUGCAGCUCCUGCUCCUUAAGGUGGCAGAUCUGGAGGGUAUCCGAUUUACUGUUAUCCCUUGUUUCCCCUUGGCAGGCCACGAAGAGCCAUGUUGGCCGUAGAACAUACAGCCUGCGGAUGGAAAGCAAAGGGAAAGGUUGAAAACCUGCUGUGACGAUGAAGCAGUGUCCCCAGAUGUGAAGCACUGCGCUCCUCUUGUGGGGCCACAGCGCUGCAUCCACAGAGGGGACGCGUGGCCUUAUCCUGCUGCCUCUGCAACGGGCACUGAGCACCCUGCUGCACCCAGCCCUGCUCCAGGCAGCGUUCCUCCCUUGCUCUCCCACCCGAGCUGUGUCCUGCUCCUUCCGCACGUGCCCUGACCCCCAGCUCUCACUUUUCAGGGGCUUCGGGGUUUUUAUGUCUUUAUGUCAGAGCUGCCCGGGAACCACACGGCUGCUGCAGGACCCGCUGGUGCUGCUCAGCCCUCCUUUCUUGUAUUGUUUGCACAAGAAAGGAAUGGAGAGAGUGGAGCAUUUGCGUGGUUUUUAUUUGGUUUGAGUUUGUUUUCUUUCAGUCUGUGGGAAGCAGGGGACGAACUCUCCAGAUCCAACAUUUCCUCCUCAGCUCCAUGUGCGUUUUGAUGCCCCACGUUUUGGCUGUUGUGCGAUAUGCCCUGCAGAUCCAAGGCAUGAGCAAAGCCGUGUGCUCCUGCUUGUAGCCCAGCGGGGAACCCCACUUGCCAGCUGUGAGGCUGCUGAAGGAGUUCCAAAGCAGGGAGAACCUCCCCAAAGUGCAGCUCAGUAAGACCCCAAACGCUCAGAACUUGCAUUGUGGACCCCGUGGGGACUUUGGGUUUUGCUUAUGAACUCUUUCCCAGCGCUUUCUCUUCUUGCAAUUAUUCAGUUUUGGGGAUGGUGGGGGAAAAUUUGCAUUUCUUUGUCUGCUUUUUGUAAAAAAAAAAAAAAAAAGCACGUAUAUAUAUGUAUUUAAAAUGUCUUUGCUUUUUAUAAGUGUCUCUGCGGUGAGCAAACAGGACCGAGGGCUGUGAGCUCAACGUGAGGUGUCACUGAAGAAGUUUCCAGUUGCUCUUUGCGUUGGCAGCAGGUAAACACAUUUGUGCACAGUGCCUCGGACAUGUCUGAUUGCCACGCUCCCAUGCACCCCAUUUUCCACUGCCAUUUUGAUGCUGAAAAGCCCCCUGAGUGGAGCAGUGCAAGCCCUGCUGCAGGCUGUGUGCUCCCAGUGUCCUUGUUUGCAAUACACAGAAAUUGAGGUUUGGGGUUGUUUUUUUUUGCAAUUGAACAGGGCUGUAGGAUGGGGUUCCAGACCGGAGCUCUGGUGUGCUGCUGGACCUCAGGGUUGGAUGGGAACCCCCACGAUGAGCUGCUCAGUUCUGGGAUGAGUGGUGGAGAAAUGCCCAAAUCGAAGCCCUCUUUCUGCACAGAUAGGAAACCAACGGGCAGAGAGCUUGGAAGGAAAAUGGGUUGGUUGUUCUGACCUGAGAGAGCCCCACGGAUGGGCAGUGCUGGAGGGGCCACAGCACAGGGCUGGCAGCAGCAAGAUACUUCAUUUCUCUCAGAAAAACCCAGGGCCAUCUGCUGCAGAAAGAGAAAACACAACCCCAAAACUCUCCUUGCAGGCGCUUCUGCCUCGAGAUGAGUUUGUUUGCUCUUUGAUGGUCAAGCAGAUAUUGUUCUCAGGUUGUUUUCUCCUUUUCUUUUUUUUUUUUUUUUCUUUUCUUUUCUUUUUCACCACUCUGCUCUAUUUUUAGUGCUGGGAGGAUGGUGCCGAAGAGCCUCUGCUGUCGGUCAGGGUUUGUGGUUUGGGCUGCUCCUGAGGCAGGGCAGGAAACCCCUGGGGGGUACAGAGGGCUGGGGGCUGAGGUGGGGCUGCAGUGGGGGGCACUGCUGGGGGCUGCACAAGCAAGAGGUGGCAAUACAACAAUAUUGUGUAUUAUAGCAAUGCAAUUUGUUCAGGAGAAUGUUGGCUGCUUUGAGCAGCACACGGGAGAGCUGGGAGCAUAGAGCUGUCCUGGCGUGUAAUGAGAAAAAUAGAGAUUCUUUCGCCCCCCUCUAUUUGGUACCCCCGGGUGUCAGGUGGGAGUCAUUGGGCUCUGAAGGCGGCUGUCCUGCAGUGCAUCCCCCGUGCUGCAGGGCUACGGCCACGCUGGCUAACACCAACACUAUCUCUCAUCCACCAGAGUUUGAGGAGUACCUGCAAAUAUCUUGGCCAAAAAAGGUGUAGUUUUGUUCUCGUUUCCACUGCUCGGCCCCACGGGCGGCCAUCAUGGCUGCCGCACUGGGUGGCCUAAAAGGCAGAGGUGGGCUGGGAGCCGCCCACCGCCCACGCGGUGUUUCCGAGGUGGUGUGUUUGCCACCAGCAGUUUGUCACACGCAGAAGAAAGCUGAGCUUGAAGCGAUGGCAAUGGCAGCGCAGGGAGAGGGGGAUGGCGGCCUCCUGAGAUGGCGGCCUCCUAAAAUGGCGCCUCCUAAGAUGGCGCCUACUGAGAUCACGCCUCCCAAGAUGGCGGCCUCCCAAGGUAGCACCACAUCGUGCAGGAGGCUGGCGGCAAAGGCGAUGACAGCGAGGAUGGGGCAAGGUUUCCUACUGUGGCACAUGCUGUUAAAUUGAGCACUUCUGCCUCCAGUGGGGCAAGGAGAGGGUGGGCAGGGGUGAGGAGGGGAGGCGCCAUGUUCUUGAGGUGGAAUUCAGCGCUGUGGUGGCCAGGUGUGGGGAUUUGGUGUGCAGGUGUGCUGAGGGAAAAUGUGGACCUGGUGGGGGGAAAGGCACAGGUCUGCUGAGGGAAAGUGUGGAUCUGCUGAGGACAAAUGCAGACGUGCAGAGGAAAAUGGUGGACGCAGUGCAGUUAAAGCAGGAGCCGCCCAGGAUGCAGAGGUCUCCAGCAGCUCUGGUUGCUGUGGCCGCCCUGGGCCGUGCCCAUGGGGCAGGUAUGAGCGCUUGGCCCUGAACAUGGCGGCCAUGGGGCUGUGCCACGCCCUGCUGUGCCGCCAUGGUGCUGGCUGUGGGUGCUGGGGCUGUGGGUGCGUGGGUGGCACUCGGCAGCCUGGAUGUGCUGCAAAACAAGACGUGGUGCCUCCCCCUGCCCCCCGAGGUUGUUCUCCCCUCCUGUGAGGGGUCCUGGAGGGUCCUACAGCUGUCAGUAGUGCCCGUCAGGCUUGCAGGGACUGUGGAUGAUGGGCACCCUUUGCUGCUGUGGUGGUUCAUGGCCCCGCUGCACCCACACUCCUCACAGCCCCAUGGCUGCCCCGACACGCUGCCCGCUGGGCACUGUUCUGAGGGACCGGGAGCUGCUGUGUCUGUGAGGCCUGCGGGGAAUGGGGUGCAUGGGUUGGGAUGAAGGAUGCUGAGUGGGAAGGGGUGCGCUGCCCCACUGCUCUUCACCCUCAGGGCAGACUCUGAGAGCAGACUGGGCUCAGGACUGCAUGUGGCCUCGUGUCCCUCAAGGAGGUCUGCAGAAGCUGUAUGCACGCAGGAUGGUGGGCAUUCCUCCAUGGGGCUGAGCUGGGCUGCACAGAGGCAGCACUCCGGGAGCAGACGAUGGGCGAUGCCCGGCGCUGCUCAGCUCCCGGCCGCACGCUGCCCCAGCCUGCAACCCCACGUCUGCUUCUCCUGUGUUUGUGCUUAUGAGCUCUCCUUCCACCUACGCAAGGAGCUAUUUUUAGAGGCACUAAUCAAGCACCGGCGCUGGCUGGGAGCGUGGCUUUCAAGCCGAGGGCUUCGUGCUUUCACCGCGCGCUUGCAGGAGCUCGGGUGGGUGCUUUCUUUAAAAUGCAGGGAGGGUUUACACAACGUGCUGCAGAGCGAUGGCAGUUAUUUCAGGCUCCUCAGGGCCGAGCCCACACCGAGCUGUCACCAGGAGGCUGUUUUGGCAGCGGCCGAGCACAACAUCCCCUCUUCCUCUCCCAUGCAGGGCUGCCCAGUGCAGGGUGGGCUCCUCUCGGCCCGCUGACUGCCAGCACAAGGAUGUGGCAUUGGUACUUUGCAUUGUGCAGGAAGGGAAAACGCUCUGGGUUCAGCACAGCCUCCUCUGACUGCCUUCUCCCUCCCUCUGAGGUUUCUCUGGCCGCUGGCAGCUUCCUGCAGGCCGUUACGGACCUGCACCUCCAUCAGCUCUGACGCAGCAAGAGCAGGCUGUGCUGAGUGAGAUCUGCUUUGGGCUGGCUGCACAACUGGAAGAAGGGUCGGUGCUUUUUGAGCUCGAGUGCGGCAGGAUCCAAGGUACUCACCAAUGCCGGGGAUGAUCCGGAAGAGGUCGUUCACCUUCUUGUCCACAGCUGUG
Molecule: long non-coding RNA, 7961 nt
Organism: Gallus gallus (chicken)
Lineage: Eukaryota; Metazoa; Chordata; Aves; Galliformes; Phasianidae
Exons: 3
Source: RefSeq, a predicted model, not a curated record